This 481-nucleotide ribosomal RNA is filed under the name uncultured bacterium. RNAcentral's name for it is "partial 16S ribosomal RNA". It matches the Rfam family "Bacterial small subunit ribosomal RNA", at positions 28 to 507 of the family's 1533-position model. The record is from RNAcentral.
GAUGAACGCUGGCGGCGUGCCUAACACAUGCAAGUCGAACGGAGAUUACGGACGGAGGUGUUCGGAUGGACGUCUGGAAUUCUAAGUGGCGGACGGGUGAGUAACACCUGGGCGACCUGCGCUAUACUGGGGGAUAGCAGCUGCAGACGGCUGAUAUGACCCCAUAAGUUGGUUAAAUGGCAUGUUUGGUACGUGAUAUGGGCAAUGAGGAAUAGGAUGGGCCCGCGUCCGAUUAGCCAGUUGGCAGGGUAAAAGCCUACCAAAGCGACGAUCGGUAGCCGGACUGAGAGGACGGUCGGCCACAUUGGGACUGAGACACGGCCCAAACUCCUACGGGAGGCAGCAGUGGGGGAUAUUGCACAAUGGAGGAAAGUCUGAUGCAGCGACGCCGCGUGAGUGAAGAAGUAUUUAGGUAUGUAAAGCUCUAUUAGCAGGGAAGAUGAUGACGGUACCUGAAGAAGAAGCCCCGGCUAACUACGUG